AUUCCAGCUCCAAUAGCGUAUAUUAAAGUUGUUGCAGUUAAAAAGCUCGUAGUUGGAGUUCGGGGAAAGCUCAGUCGGUCGGCCUAAUGGGUCAGAACUGGCUGACUCUCUCUUGUUUGCGGAUCCCUCCCGGAGUUAACUCUUCAGGUUGUGGAGUCCGCAUCGUUUACCUUGAAAAAAUUAGAGUGUUCAAAGCAGGCGUUUGCUUGAAUAUAUUAGCAUGGAAUAAUGGAAUAGGACCCUGGUUCUAUUUUGUUGGUUUUGAGAGCCAGAGUAAUGAUUAAUAGUGAUAGUUGGGGGCAUUCAUAUUUCAUUGUCAGAGGUGAAAUUCUUGGAUUUAUGAAAGAUGAACUUCUGCGAAAGCAUUUGCCAAGGAUGUUUUCAUCA
Molecule: ribosomal RNA, 387 nt
Filed under: Telonemia sp.
Lineage: Eukaryota; Telonemia
Description: partial small subunit ribosomal RNA
Rfam family: Eukaryotic small subunit ribosomal RNA
Source: RNAcentral